GAGGAAUAUUGGUCAAUGGGGGCAACCCUGAACCAGCCAAGUCGCGUGAAGGAUGAAGGUCUUAUGGAUUGUAAACUUCUUUUAUACAGGAAUAAAUUGGGGGACGUGUCCCCUUUUGCAUGUACUGUAUGAAUAAGGAUCGGCUAACUCCGUGCCAGCAGCCGCGGUAAUACGGAGGAUCCGAGCGUUAUCCGGAUUUAUUGGGUUUAAAGGGUGCGCAGGCGGGAUGUUAAGUCGGCGGUGAAAUUUUGCAGCUCAACUGUAAAAGUGCCUUCGAUACUGGCUUCCUUGAGUGUAGAUGAAGUAGGCGGAAUUUGUGGUGUAGCGGUGAAAUGCUUAGAUAUCACGAGGAACUCCGAUUGCGCAGGCAGCUUACUAAACCACAACUGACGCUCAUGCACGAAGGCGUGGGGAUCAAACA
RNAcentral lists this ribosomal RNA (421 nucleotides) under uncultured bacterium. RNAcentral's name for it is "bacterial SSU rRNA". It matches the Rfam family "Bacterial small subunit ribosomal RNA", at positions 356 to 774 of the family's 1533-position model. The record is from RNAcentral.